ACGGAAGGCAGCAGUGGGGAAUAUUGGGCAAUGGGGGAAACCCUGACCCAGCAACGCCGCGUGAAGGAAGAAGGUCUUCGGAUUGUAAACUUCUUUUAUGAGGGACGAAGGACGUGACGGUACCUCAUGAAUAAGCCACGGCUAACUACGUGCCAGCAGCCGCGGUAAUACGUAGGUGGCAAGCGUUAUCCGGAUUUACUGGGUGUAAAGGGCGCGUAGGCGGGGAUGCAAGUCAGGUGUGAAAUCUAUGGGCUUAACCCAUAAACUGCAUUUGAAACUGUUGCCCUUGAGUAUCGGAGAGGCAGGCGGAAUUCCUAGUGUAGCGGUGAAAUGCGUAGAUAUUAGGAGGAACACCAGUGGCGAAGGCGGCCUGCUGGACGACAACUGACGCUGAGGCGCGAAAGCGUGGGGAGCAAACAGGAUUAGAUACCCUGGUA
This is a ribosomal RNA of 437 nucleotides. It matches the Rfam family "Bacterial small subunit ribosomal RNA", at positions 341 to 792 of the family's 1533-position model.